CCCUAAUCAAAAACUAUGACAUCUGUAAUAUUCCAUAGUCUGAAACUUUUGGAGCUUCAUGUUGGUUUCAGAUUUGGUAGCAUUUCAGAUUUUUUAAUUAGAAUGCUCAGCCUGAAUGACAUUUAUGCCCUGAACUAAACUAUAAAUCUUACCACAAAGAUCCCUAAGUCGUAGGGCUGUCCCCAUUUUAUAAGACACUAAGAAACUCAGUUCCAUGGAGAUUAAGCCCCUUAACCAGGAUCUCAGAGGAAGUAAGUGUUGAAAUGAGACUUGAACUCAAUCUCUGUGAUUCUACCUCUGCCCUUCCCACAACCCUGUUCAAGAUCAGGGGAGACAGAGUUUGUUCUUAAAAACACAAGGGUCCUUAAAUUCAUCUUGAUAAUUUUAUCUGCCACCAGGGUACGUAAGCAUGUCUCAAACAGUCAAAAUUUCAGCAACUUCAUCCUUACUUAGAUGGUAGCCCAUAAAUUUAGAAAAAGACUUCAACUGCUCCAUUAUGAGUAACAUACAACCCACCGAGUUCAAAGGAACAAGGCUGUUGGAAUGGCAUUCUUCCUGUUUUGAGUCUGCCAUAUUUUAAAGUGGCAUCCUGUCUUUUGGGAUCAAGGACACUUUGAAGUGUAAGCAAUAGAGAUAAAUGUCUGGCCACAAUUCAACCAUCAGGAAACAUAUUUUGACUAUUUGAUGAAUCAGUAUCACUCUGUUCUGUCCCAUCCUUGAGGGUGUACUUAGUGUUCUGACCAGCAGAUACAUCAGGGAAGGAUUAAAGAGGUUAAGGGUGCUCCAGUUAAAACAGAGUAGAUUGUUACUCAGAAAAGAAGACUGAUCUCACUGCCAUUUUGAAAAUGUCACACCUGACUCAUGUACUGAGUGGCCCGUAAAAUUACUGGGAGGUCUGCCUAUUUCUGCAGUGGUCUGAAGACACUGCACCAUGAAGUGGCAGCAGUUGUGUGCCUUUGCACAUGUCACCUACACAAAGCUUUCUCUCCUGUGUUCAGGUCAUUCCCUGCUUGCUUUGGCAAAAACCCAGUAGAAGGAAAAGCCAGACCAAGAUGGGUCUCAGAAACCCCUUCCUCUUAAUAUCUGAAACCCAUCUGCCUCAAAGUUGGCCUCUGUUCCCUCAUUCAUGAAAUUGGGAGAGCCUUCUUUGUAAGUGUUCUCUUUGCCUGGGGGUUUUGUGAUGGCACAAACUAGUUUAGGAGCAUUAGGAUAUCAUGGGAAGAACAUGAAAAUUCUGGGUUUUUAUUGUUGUGGCAAGUUGGGGGCAGAUGAGGUCUGAGGCCACUUAAUAGCAUUUCAUGCACUAGCCUCUAGGGAGUUAGUUGGGGAAGGAAAUGUAGUCUCCAAAAGGAUAUUUCUUGAAUGAAAAGGAGCCCCAGAAAGUUGAGUCUCAUUAACUUUUCAGGUUGACAGAAGCUGACAGAAUGGAACGUGGCCAGGACCACAUCAGGCAUAGACCUUUGAGGAUAAAAAAAUGAUACAGUCUUUUACUAGAUGAGCUUCCAUUCAGCCCACAUUCCUGAAAACAACUGCCACUAAGUCUUGGACGUUAUGUGAAGCCCUUUGUCAUAGUAUCUCAUUUUAUUCUCACAAGAAUUUGAGAAGUGCAUUGCAGUCCAUCUUACUGAUGAGGAAGAGGGAUCGAGCUACUUGCCAAACCACACAUCCAAUAAGAAGAAAAGGUGUAACACAAACACAAGUUUAAUAAAACAUCCUAACACUCAUUCUAUAUUUAGAAAAAUGAAUUUUCAUUAUCUAGCAUGGCUCUUUGCAGUAAGUUUGCAUUGCAGAUGUCUCUCGGAAGUGUAAAACACUAUGGCACAUACUAAUUUGUAAUCCUUCCACAGAAUGAGUCACUUAAAACUGUUCAUCCCGUAUGACCAAGGCAAAACCAAAGUUUCUGGGUCCUUCUGGAAAGGACAUUAGUAAUCCACUGACCCUCUCCAGCUCAUUGUACAGGAUAAAACAAAACCAGAGAAGUGAGGUGAUAUGAUUCCCCCCUCCAGGGUGUAGAGCAGGGGGACCAACAGUUGCAGCUGGAACAGAGGACAUUCUGCUGCUCUGACCUCACGAAGGAGCUAGGAUCAG
RNAcentral lists this long non-coding RNA (2088 nucleotides) under Marmota monax (woodchuck). The record is from RNAcentral. Lineage: Eukaryota; Metazoa; Chordata; Mammalia; Rodentia; Sciuridae.